ACGAGCUGUAUGCAGGGAAACUUGCACGUACAGUUCUUCGGGGGCCCUAUGUCCGGGAGGACAUGGGGCUACCCUCU
This 77-nucleotide non-coding RNA is filed under the name Paraburkholderia sp. BL23I1N1. Lineage: Bacteria; Pseudomonadati; Pseudomonadota; Betaproteobacteria; Burkholderiales; Burkholderiaceae. The record is from RNAcentral.